Molecule: ribosomal RNA, 59 nt
Filed under: uncultured bacterium
Lineage: Bacteria
Description: partial 16S ribosomal RNA
Source: RNAcentral
UGGGGUAACCUGCCUCCAAAAAGGGGGAAUAGCCCUUCCCGGGAAAAGGGGAACCGGAA